UUUAAAUCCCUCCCCACCUCCCCUCCUCCAGUACAAAAUCAUCUGCGUACCUACGUUCAACCACUUCAUUGACCCAUUUUUAAGAAUUGCUUGGGUAUUGCCUUUACCUCCAUUGUUGCAUGAUUUGUUCUUUUUGCACAGGAAAAUAAAAACAAAAAUCUGAAUUAAAGCAUAUUUUUGUCAUUUAAACCAAGUAUUCGUACUGGGUUCUGAGGUUGCACAUGAAGUGCACUCUCGGUUUUCUGAUGAAAAGCAUUAUUACUAGGAAACAGCAUAUUUCUAAACGGAAUCUAAAUAAAAUGCUUUUCUUUCAUGUACAAUUUACUUUCUGCAUCGCCUAAGACAAAAUAUAUAGAAUAUAAAAUCCAGGUGCUGGCAGAAAACUUAAGUAGAAAGAUCAAAAGCUGAUCUCUUACUUAUAGAACCCGGCUUUGGGUCAAGUACGGUGGGGCUUGAGUGUUUAUAGAUCCUUGCAUCAAUGCAUUUAUCUCCUCAUUACAACAUAAAAUCUAGAUAAGUACUGUAAUUAUAUCUCAACAAUCGCAGGGAAGACUUAUGGCAUGAACUGAUUAAAGGGAUAUGCCAGCGUACUAAGCUAGACUUGAAUAAUGGUCAUCGGUCAGCGUUAAGCAACGACAUUACAAGGGUUAAUGUUUUAUUUUAUAUUUCCUCCAGAUCAAUUUCUUUGUAUUCUAAUCUGUAUUUUUAUUGUAUGCUAAGAAUUUCUGUGGUUGCGACAAGCCGUGCUUCAAAAAAAUCUCAAAAUAAUACCGGAUUGGUUGAAUGUGCUUGCAGUGGCUUUGAAGCCUUUUCACACUAUCCAUGGCUGUUGGUGGCUAAAUUUGCAGAAAAUCUUGGGUUCGUUAGUCGACUUUAUACAAAAAGAAGAAGAAGAAGAAGAAGAAGAAGAAGAAGAGAGGAUGGUGCUAUUAUUGAAGAUUUUCUUAAGUUUUCAUGAAGCCCUCUCCAAUUUUAUACAAUUUAAUUAAUUAAAAAAAUACAUCAAUUUUAUUUUGAUGGAAUAUAUGUGUGCUAGCUACAGCAAAAUAUCUCUACAUCAACGAUAUUAUAUUGGUAGCUGGAAACUUGGAGUUCAAACAUGCAA
This is a long non-coding RNA of Populus trichocarpa (black cottonwood), 1105 nucleotides long. RefSeq lists it as uncharacterized. The transcript is spliced from 2 exons. NCBI's taxonomy places the organism in Eukaryota, Viridiplantae, Streptophyta, Magnoliopsida, Malpighiales, Salicaceae. The record is from RefSeq and is a predicted model, not a curated record.